GAUCAUGGCUCAGGAUGAACGCUAGCUACAGGCUUAACACAUGCAAGUCGAGGGGAAACGACAUCGAAAGCUUGCUUUUGAUGGGCGUCGACCGGCGCACGGGUGAGUAACGCGUAUCCAACCUGCCCACCACUUGGGGAUAACCUUGCGAAAGUAAGACUAAUACCCAAUGAUAUCUCUAGAAGACACUGAAGAAGAGUAA
Molecule: ribosomal RNA, 202 nt
Filed under: uncultured bacterium
Lineage: Bacteria
Description: partial 16S ribosomal RNA
Rfam family: Bacterial small subunit ribosomal RNA
Source: RNAcentral